This 519-nucleotide ribosomal RNA is filed under the name uncultured eukaryote. RNAcentral describes it as "SSU rRNA". It matches the Rfam family "Eukaryotic small subunit ribosomal RNA", at positions 1161 to 1699 of the family's 1831-position model. The record is from RNAcentral.
AGGGCACCACCAGGAGUGGAGCCUGCGGCUUAAUUUGACUCAACACGGGAAAACUCACCCGGCCCGGACACUGGAAGGAUUGACAGAUUGAGAGCUCUUUCUUGAUUCAGUGGGUGGUGGUGCAUGGCCGUUCUUAGUUGGUGGAGUGAUUUGUCUGGUUAAUUCCGAUAACGAACGAGACUCUAGCCUACUAAAUAGAUCGUCGGCUUACAAACGCCGGCGAGACUUCUUAGAGGGACAGGCGGUGAUUCAACCGCACGAAACAGAGCAAUAACAGGUCUGUGAUGCCCUUAGAUGUCCGGGGCCGCACGCGCGCUACACUGAAGUGAUCAGCGUGCUUUACGUUCCUGCUCCGACCGGAGUGGGGAACCCAGUGAACCUUCUUCGUGAUUGGGAUAGGGGAUUGUAAUUAUUCCCCUUGAACGAGGAAUUCCCAGUAAGCGCGAGUCAUAAGCUCGCGUUGAUUACGUCCCUGCCCUUUGUACACACCGCCCGUCGCUACUACCGAUUGAAUGUUUU